This 1322-nucleotide ribosomal RNA is filed under the name Bacteroides fragilis. RNAcentral's name for it is "bacterial LSU rRNA". It matches the Rfam family "Bacterial large subunit ribosomal RNA", at positions 1767 to 2586 of the family's 2925-position model. The record is from RNAcentral. Lineage: Bacteria; Pseudomonadati; Bacteroidota; Bacteroidia; Bacteroidales; Bacteroidaceae.
CAUAGAGGGUUCCCUGCGGACCGCGCAACACGUCGAUGCGCUCAAUGUCGGCAUAGUUGAAGUCGAAAGCUGAUUUGUCGAUGUAAGGGACAUUGUCUACGUACAAACCCACUGACGGUGUAUUGAUGCGUGAACCGAUCCCACGGAUGUAGAUGGCGGAAGUCAGUUUCGAGCCAUAGUCGGGGAUGAAGAUAUUCGGAGCGGAAUCACAACCAUCAAGACACUCAAGAACCGGGAAUAUGCGGCCCGGGGACUACCUUUCAUCUACUCCGAAACGGAUACCGACUUUGUGACACCUGCCCGGUGCUGGAAGGUUAAGAGGAGAUGUCAUCGCAAGAGAAGCAUUGAAUUGAAGCCCCAGUAAACGGCGGCCGUAACUAUAACGGUCCUAAGGUAGCGAAAUUCCUUGUCGGGUAAGUUCCGACCUGCACGAAUGGUGUAAUGAUCUGGACACUGUCUCAACCGUGAGCUCAGUGAAAUUGUAGUAUCGGUGAAGAUGCCGAUUACCCGCGAUGGGACGAAAAGACCCCGUGAACCUUUACUAUAGCUUAACAUUGAAUUUGGGUAAUUGAUGUGUAGGAUAGGCCGGAGACUUUGAAGCAGGCACGCCAGUGUUUGUGGAGUCGCUGUUGAAAUACGGCCCUUUGGUUAUUUGAGUUCUAACUCCAAAAAUGGAGGACACUGUUUGGUGGGUAGUUUGACUGGGGUGGUCGCCUCCAAAAGCGUAACGGAGGCUUCUAAAGGUGCCCUCACGCCGAUUGGUAACCGGCGGUAGAGUGUAAUGGCAUAAGGGCGCUUGACUGGGAGACUUACAAGUCGAUCAGGUAGGAAACUAGAGCAUAGUGAUCCGGUGUUUCCGUAUGGAAGGGACAUCGCUCAAAGGAUAAAAGGUACUCCGGGGAUAACAGGCUGAUCCCUCCCAAGAGCUCAUAUCGACGGAGGGGUUUGGCACCUCGAUGUCGGCUCGUCACAUCCUGGGGCUGGAGAAGGUCCCAAGGGUUGGCGCGUUUUUGGCAUCGGCUAAGUCCGAUUGCGCUUUUGACAGUUCACUUCUGUAACGAUUCAGCUCUUCGUUGAUAGCGUUUUGGUCUACCUGUGCACCGCAAGACACGAAUCUCUUGCCACCGAAUGUGUAAGUCACACCUGCUGUCAGAGAAACAGCACCGUCAGUACGGGCAGAACUAUAAUGUCCGAAGAGAGAAGGAGAGACUUCACCUCUUGCUUCUACAUUGAUAUCCAAAUAUUUGUUGAUGUUGAAUUGUCCCAUCAAACCGACAGAACCAUUAAUCAGCGCAUUCAGUUUAUCUUGAUUGCCAUAGGCC